GAUGAACGCUGGCGGCGUGCCUAAUACAUGCAAGUCGAGCGAACAGAUGAGGAGCUUGCUCCUCUGACGUUAGCGGCGGACGGGUGAGUAACACGUGGAUAACCUACCUAUAAGACUGGGAUAACUUCGGGAAACCGGGGCUAAUACCGGAUAAUAUAUUGAACCGCAUGGUUCAAUAGUGAAAGACGGUUUUGCUGUCACUUAUAGAUGGAUCCGCGCCGCAUUAGCUAGUUGGUAAGGUAACGGCUUACCAAGGCAACGAUGCGUAGCCGACCUGAGAGGGUGAUCGGCCACACUGGAACUGAGACACGGUCCAGACUCCUACGGGAGGCAGCAGUAGGGAAUCUUCCGCAAUGGGCGAAAGCCUGACGGAGCAACGCCGCGUGAGUGAUGAAGGUCUUCGGAUCGUAAAACUCUGUUAUUAGGGAAGAACAAAUGUGUAAGUAACUAUGCACGUCUUGACGGUACCUAAUCAGAAAGCCGCGGCUAACUACGUG
RNAcentral lists this ribosomal RNA (497 nucleotides) under uncultured bacterium. Its description in RNAcentral is "partial 16S ribosomal RNA". It matches the Rfam family "Bacterial small subunit ribosomal RNA", at positions 28 to 507 of the family's 1533-position model. The record is from RNAcentral.